CUGUUUUAGAGAAUGUGCAUUGCCCGACACAGGAAAGAUAAACAGAUCCUCACAGCUCCUGAUGAAGGACCAGUUCCGAAACGCAUUGAGCUUUUAAUAAACUUCUUCCAGCACCAGAGCUUGCCUCUCUAUCCUGCCCACUAGAUUUCUGAAACCAGAUUUUAUGUUGCAUGAAAGGUCCAAUAUAAUGCUCAAAUUACCAGUAGGAGCCGGGGCAGCAAUUUAUAAAGAUAUUGAACAGUAUGGAGCCUAGGACAGAGCCCUGUGACACCUACUUGAGGCUUCCUUCCAGAUCAACGCAGAGCCAGUAAUGUGUUAGGUACAGCUGUGGAUCCACCUAACAGCAGAAUUGUCCAAAGCAAAUUUUACUAUGUCAAGUUCUUUGCUGAAAUCAAGAUACAUCAUAUUUAUGGCAUUUCCAUGAACUAUGAAACUAGCAACUACUAUAGCAACA
Rhineura floridana is the source of this 454-nucleotide long non-coding RNA. RefSeq lists it as uncharacterized. Lineage: Eukaryota; Metazoa; Chordata; Lepidosauria; Squamata; Rhineuridae. The transcript has 3 exons. The record is from RefSeq and is a predicted model, not a curated record.